Long non-coding RNA from Lagenorhynchus albirostris (white-beaked dolphin), 768 nucleotides. RefSeq lists it as uncharacterized. The record is from RefSeq and is a predicted model, not a curated record. NCBI's taxonomy places the organism in Eukaryota, Metazoa, Chordata, Mammalia, Artiodactyla, Delphinidae. The transcript is spliced from 2 exons.
UUCAUGCCCGAGGGAGGUCUGUGGAGGGUCAAGUUCUUUGACGGUCGUGCUGUGGGCCUGGAUCCCAAACUGGCUGGAUUUGAAGGGUGUUCACUGGAGGCGACUUUCUAUUCCGGUUGAAAUGCAAGCGAAAGCACAGCAGGUUGGUCCUUGGGGUCAGCACAUCAGUUCUAGAAAGCCCAGGCUGGACUCUAAGGGAUGAUAAAUGGGCGACACUCCACGGGGGGCUGGGGGCCGAGAAGUAAACAGGAGAGACCAGGCUCCAGGUCUGCUUGCCCGUCCGUAGCUUCCGUUGCGGCUGUAGAGGGUGCCCCUCGCUGGGGAAGGUGACACAGUCUAACAGACUCUGCUGUGACCCUCUCAGGGGUCACACGUGGAAGGACAGAGGUGGCAGGGGCCGAGGAGCCCGUGGUGAGAUGUGGCUCCCUUGACAGCCCAUGAAAAAUGACUGAGAAAAAAAACACUUUAGAAGUGAUGACUAAACCAGGCCUCCAAGGUCAGGGCCCACGUGAGCCCCACUGCGGGACAGGGUGAGCAGAUACAGGAAAGGGCCCCAGAUGCGUCUUUCAGCCCCUCCAGAAACUCCCUCUGCUCUGCAUCUGCCGGAAGUUCUGCGUUUGUGCUUUAGGCUCUUCCGUUAAGUAACUGAACCGAACGGACUCUACUGCGCGCGGUCACAAUGGCCUCGAGUUAAACCAUAAAAACGUUCUACUGCUCGUCUGCCGUUCGGCUGUUAUAAAGAAAGUAAAUGGAAGUGUACGAGUUUAA